Long non-coding RNA from Cucurbita moschata (crookneck pumpkin), 200 nucleotides. RefSeq lists it as uncharacterized. The transcript has 3 exons. NCBI's taxonomy places the organism in Eukaryota, Viridiplantae, Streptophyta, Magnoliopsida, Cucurbitales, Cucurbitaceae. The record is from RefSeq and is a predicted model, not a curated record.
UCGAGUCUUUUCCGGUAAAGAUCAUGAUGCAAGGAGCCUUUGUUGGAAGGGAAAAGAGAAUGUGGGUGGCCGGAGUCCCAUUUUUCAUCAAGAAAUUGGAAAACCCUCAAGGUAAGGAUCUUGAACGUUUUCUCAGAUCUACGGUUUUCCUUUGUGAAUCAAGAUCUGAAAUCUUGAUAUAUUCAUCUAGGAACAACUCU